CCUACGGGGGGCAGCAGUGGGGAAUAUUGGGCAAUGGGCGCAAGCCUGACCCAGCAACGCCGCGUGAAGGAAGAAGGCUUUCGGGUUUUAAACUUCUUUUAUCAGGGACGAAGCAAGUGACGGUACCUGAUGAAUAAGCCACGGCUAACUACGUGCCAGCAGCCGCGGUAAUACGUAGGUGGCAAGCGUUAUCCGGAUUUACUGGGUGUAAAGGGCGUGUAGGCGGGAGUGCAAGGCAGAUGUGAAAACUAUGGGCUCAAACCAUAGCCAUGAUUUGAAACUGGACUUCUUGAGGGCUGGGGAGGGAAUCGGGAUUCCGGGGGUAGCGGUGAAAU
RNAcentral lists this ribosomal RNA (335 nucleotides) under uncultured bacterium. Its description in RNAcentral is "partial 16S ribosomal RNA". It matches the Rfam family "Bacterial small subunit ribosomal RNA", at positions 338 to 687 of the family's 1533-position model. The record is from RNAcentral.